Long non-coding RNA from Daphnia pulex (common water flea), 1216 nucleotides. RefSeq lists it as uncharacterized. The record is from RefSeq and is a predicted model, not a curated record. Lineage: Eukaryota; Metazoa; Arthropoda; Branchiopoda; Diplostraca; Daphniidae. The transcript has 3 exons.
AGAAAAGGAGUUCAUUCUCUCUCUGGAUGCUCGACUUGAUGACAGCCAAUUAAAGGCUUCGUCCCAUCGAAAACGAGCAUCCGAAUCGUCGACCAGCGAGGAAUAAUAGGUGAAUUCGUCGACAAAACCUAGACGACGCCCAGGUCAACCACGGCAUCGCGCAAGACUGUGAAGAAGACCUCCGGGUAAAAUACCUAAACUUCAUUCGGGUUGCUAUUUUUUUUUUACAAGCAGUGACGCAGUAUUAUUCUGAGUGUUAACUUUGUUUGAAUUUCAAAUUCAGGGACCCAAGUUUGAUGCUGUUUAAGCACGGACUACGUAUUAAAAUUUGAACUAAACCUUAUUGAAAAGGCUAUUUGUAGAUUUAAUAUAAUGUAAUUUUUUUAAUGUAUUUUGUAGGUUAUGUACUUUUUUUAUUUUUCCUUUUUUAAUGAAAAAAAUCGCAAACAUCCCUUCGGGUAACUUGCUAACGCAGGUAGCUGACAAUCCUUUUACAAAUAUUGAUUUUAACUUUUACAAACAAUACUAGAUGGCAUGUUUAGAAACGGUCACGCCAUCUGUUGCCAUCUACUCUACCGGUACCAACCCCCAGAAAAACUUCCGCACCACACGCGGACCAACAUCAAAAUAGGAUUCUCUUUGUUGGCUUCCAACUUUUUACCGUUUCACCGGAGAAAAAAUUCAACCCGUUACAUUAGAGAAACUACCAGAAUUUACAAGUAAACACAAGAACGACUAUACAAUGAAACAAAAGAGAGAACCGAUAUCAACAAGAAUGACGGGAGAAUCAGCCUGGCUAAAGACUGUACGAUAACUGAAGUACUAGCUUCUUCCAUUUGGAUUCGUAUUCGUCGAUCGACGGGAACCGUCCCAUUUUCCACGUUUUCCAUGUUACAUCCACAAAGACGGUCACAAGUAUUCGAGCGGGGGCGUCGUGUGGAAGUCGCCCUAUAUCUGAUCCAGUGCGUCCAAAUACCGGAGCAGCCGAGGGACACGAGGUACCUCUUAUCCAGUUCGUGGCUGUUACACGUUCUGGGCAUCCGAGAUGGUCAGCCGAUAUUUUACUUUACCACUGCACUGAUUGUUGGAAAUUUAUUGCAUCCCAACAGUGAUCGGCACUAUUGCUACUGUUAAUUCUAUGUAAUUUGUAGGGACCUCAACAGAGGGCCCCAAUUUUACCCUCUCUUUCCACUCAAUCUAUUGUUCCUAUCCUACU